UGCACGGUCUUGAAGUUCUUUUCCAAUCCCAACCAUUCUACAAUUGUAUGAUUCUUAUAGCCAAGGAACCUGGAAAGUGCCAUGUCCUUAAAGAAUAUGAUAUUCAGUUAAAUUGCAUUACACGCAUUUCAGGAAUGGCCAUGGGAAACACUCCUUUUUUCCCCCAUCUCCCCCACCAGCUAGUGCUGGAAUAUUUUGUGGAUUAUUUUAGACAGCCGCCUGGAUUCUACAUAUAUCUUCCAUAUUCUAAUGUCUCGUUAUUCCAGCAUAGACUAUUAGUGCAGUAGCUCAUGCCAAGAUGCAAAAGCAGAACAGAACUGAUUAAUUAUUAUUAUUAUUAUUUUUUACCCUGACAGCUUUUGGCCACAAAACAUCUUUUUCAUGAUUUUGCAACUAAGAAUUCUAGCAUGGCAUACAAAAUCUUCUUGAGUGCCCACUUCAUGAAGAAACGUGGCCAAGUGCAAGGGAAAUUGAAGGAUCAUGGCAUCCUGAAGGUUAGGACAGCUAAACCAGACUAAUCCCCACACCAGUCCUGUUGGCAACACCUUCAUUAGUUUCAGCAGCCAAACGUGAAGCCAGCCAGCAACAUAAAGAAAUCCAGCCAAGAAGACAGCUACAGUCCCACAUAUCAAUGCUGGAAAAAACACAUUCCGGAGCUUGGCGUCUGUGCUCUGAAGCUUGCCAAGCACACCCUAGGAGUGGCCACACAUGUUCUGGCUUUCACAGCAGAGGAGCAGAAUGAAAACAGGGGAGCUGAGUGAGCCAGAAUGUGAGUGGUACAGAACACUGUACCACGGUCCGUUUCUUUCAUCUAGAAAAUGGGAGACUUUCCUGAGAUGUCAGAGAGAGGGAGCGCUUAUGUUCCCUAAUGUACAGGAAACACACUGUUUUUCAUUUAAAUUCAGAACUCUGGGAUAUUUAUUUCUGUUCUGCUGAAACUGUUCUGUCUCAUUACUGUAGGAUAUUACUUAAAUAUGUAUAUGUAUGUAUUUAAAGGUUUUAGUAAUGCUUUGAUGCUGUACCUCAUCCUUCUCUGAUUAAAAGGUAUGCUUCCACUGAGUGAUGAAUUUGCUCAAUAAUAGAGCCACGAAGGUCAUGCAGAAUGGGGCUAUAUCUGACAGGCAGCUGAGCACUUGCAUUGUUCCUGUGUGCUCAAUUCUAGGGCCAAUUCUGUUGAAGAUUUUAUCAGUGAUCUGGAUGCAGGAGUUGAAAGCGUCCUUAACAAAUUUGCCAAUGCUACUAACCCAGGAAAUGCUGUUGCCUGCCUGGAGAGGAAACUAGAUGAAGUGGAGCACUGGGUAAUCAGCAACAUAAUGAAGUUCAAGAAAGGUGAAUGCUAGAUUAUGUAUUUGAAGUGCAGUAAUGCGAGACACAGGCACAGACUGGGAGUUGAUUGUCUGGAGAGCAGCUAAGCAGAAAGGAAUCUGGGGGUGCUGGUCAACAAAAGGCAAAGCAUGAAUCAACAGUGUGCCUGCCAGCCCUGGCAUAGCCAACCGGCCAAAAUAGGUGAUUCUU
Meleagris gallopavo (turkey) is the source of this 1515-nucleotide non-coding RNA. The record is from RefSeq and is a predicted model, not a curated record. NCBI's taxonomy places the organism in Eukaryota, Metazoa, Chordata, Aves, Galliformes, Phasianidae.